AGAGUUUGAUCCUGGCUCAGAACGAACGCUGGCGGCGCGCCUAAUACAUGCAAGUCGAGCGAGAAGGUGUAGCAAUACACUGGUACAGCGGCGAACGGGUGAGGAAUACAUGGGUAACCUACCCUCGAGUGGGGAAUAACUAGCCGAAAGGUUAGCUAAUACCGCAUACGAUUCCCGAAUUGCGGUUCGGGAAAGAAAGCCAUACCGUGGGUAUGGCGCUCCUGGAUGGGCUCAUGUCCUAUCAGCUUGUUGGUGAGGUAACGGCUCACCAAGGCUUCGACGGGUAGCUGGUCUGAGAGGACGAUCAGCCACACUGGCACUGCGACACGGGCCAGACUCCUACGGGAGGCAGCAGUAAGGAAUAUUGCGCAAUGGGCGACAGCCUGACGCAGCGACGCCGCGUGGGGGAUGAAGGUCUUCGGAUUGUAAACCCCUUUCGGGAGGGAAGAGGGAAUGGGGUAACCCAUUCGGACGGUACCUCCAGAAGCAGCCACGGCUAACUUCGUGCCAGCAGCCGCGGUAAUACGAAGGUGGCAAGCGUUGUUCGGAUUCACUGGGCGUACAGGGAGCGUAGGCGGUUGGGUAAGCCCUCCGUGAAAUCUCCGGGCCUAACCCGGAAAGUGCAGAGGGGACUGCUCGGCUUGAGGACGGGAGAGGAGCGCGGAAUUCCCGGUGUAGCGGUGAAAUGCGUAGAGAUCGGGAGGAAGGCCGGUGGCGAAGGCGGCGCUCUGGAACGUUUCUGACGCUGAGGCUCGAAAGCGUGGGGAGCAAACAGGAUUAGAUACCCUGGUAGUCCACGCCUUAAACUAUGGAUACUAAGUGUCGGCGGGUUACCGCCGGUGCCGCAGCUAACGCAUUAAGUAUCCCGCCUGGGAAGUACGGCCGCAAGGUUGAAACUCAAGGAAUUGACGG
Molecule: ribosomal RNA, 912 nt
Filed under: uncultured Nitrospira sp.
Lineage: Bacteria; Pseudomonadati; Nitrospirota; Nitrospiria; Nitrospirales; Nitrospiraceae
Description: bacterial SSU rRNA
Rfam family: Bacterial small subunit ribosomal RNA
Source: RNAcentral